CUGCUGCCUCCCGUAGGAGUUUGGACCGUGUCUCAGUUCCAAUGUGGGGGACCUUCCUCUCAGAACCCCUACGCAUCGUCGGCUUGGUGGGCCGUUGCCCCACCAACUACCUAAUGCGCCGCAUGCCCAUCCGUGACCGGAGUCGCCCCCUUUGGCCGGCAGGGGAUGUCCCCUCCCGGCAUUAUGUUGUAUUAGGCGGGAUUUCUCCCGGUUAUCCAUCUGUCACGGCCAGGUUGCAUACGUGUUACUCACCCGUGCGCCGGUCGCCCGG
RNAcentral lists this ribosomal RNA (271 nucleotides) under uncultured bacterium. RNAcentral describes it as "partial 16S ribosomal RNA". The record is from RNAcentral.